AUUGAACGCUGGCGGCAGGCCUAACACAUGCAAGUCGAACGAGUGGCGGACGGGUGAGUAAUGUCUGGGAAACUGCCCGAUGGAGGGGGAUAACUACUGGAAACGGUAGCUAAUACCGCAUACCAUCGGAUGUGCCCAGAUGGGAUUAGCUAGUAGGUGGGGUAACGGCUCACCUAGGCGACGAUCCCUAGCUUGUCUGACAGGAUGACCAACCACACUGGAACUGAUCCCGUGUCGAGCUUCCAACGGGAGGCAGCAGUGGGGAAUAUUGCACAAUGGGCGCAAGCCUGAUGCAGCCAGGCGGCGUGUAUGAAGAAGGCCUUCGGGUUGUAAAGAACUUUCAUCGAGGAGGCGUUACUCGCAGAAGAAGCACCGGCUAACUCCGUGCCAGCAGCCGCGGUAAUAC
RNAcentral lists this ribosomal RNA (406 nucleotides) under uncultured bacterium. Its description in RNAcentral is "partial 16S ribosomal RNA". It matches the Rfam family "Bacterial small subunit ribosomal RNA", at positions 30 to 526 of the family's 1533-position model. The record is from RNAcentral.